GGAGAUCUUCAUCACCCCGCCGACGACCCCGGGGCUCUUCCAACACUGGGCGGGCUCUUCAAAACCUUGACGUUGACGAUGAUGAUGAUGAUGAAGAUGAUGAUGAUGAUGAUGAUGAUGAAGAUGAAGGCUCUUCCAAUGACGAUGAUGAAGAUGAUGAAGAUGAUGAUGAAGAUGAUUAUGAU
This 185-nucleotide long non-coding RNA is filed under the name Anas platyrhynchos platyrhynchos (common mallard). RNAcentral's name for it is "lncRNA (ENSAPLG00000020700.1)". The record is from RNAcentral. Lineage: Eukaryota; Metazoa; Chordata; Aves; Anseriformes; Anatidae.